This 4148-nucleotide long non-coding RNA is filed under the name Homo sapiens (human). Its description in RNAcentral is "non-protein coding lnc-ANKRD11-3:1". Lineage: Eukaryota; Metazoa; Chordata; Mammalia; Primates; Hominidae. The record is from RNAcentral.
ACUUUGAAAACAUGAAGGUAUAUUUUAGAUAUCACUGUUUUGUUACAAUCGAUCCUAAUCGUGCAUCUAAUACUUAAAUUUCAUAUUCACAAAGGCAAUUAUUUAAAGCCCACCGCUUAUUUCAGAGAGCAAAUUUAUGUUCUCAGGUGAGUAUCCAAUUGUUAGAAACUACUUCCAAUAUUUAAUUACCAAUUGUGUUUUCUACUAGAAACAUGGGGUGCACUGGGAAACUGAGAAAUACUUCCCAGCAGCUACUCUAGCUGCCCUGGAGGGCCAAUCCAGAAUCACGACCCACACUGCUCCCGGGAAACUGAGAGAAAUACUUCCCAGCAGCUACUCUAGCUGCCCUGGAGGGACGAUCCAGAAUCACGACCCAUGCUGCUCCUUCAGCUCUGUGACUGUAUCAACAGUGUCCCAUUUUCUUUUCUUUUUUAUUUUUGUUGAGAUGGGGUCUCUCUCCGUCACCCAGGCUGGAGUGCGGUGGUGCACUGCAGGAGAAACCCACAGUGCUUCAUGAGCAUAUCUGGGCUCACUGCAGCCUCCACCUCCUGGGCUCAAGUGAUCCUCCCAACUGAGCCUCCUGAGUAGCUGGGAGUACAGGUGCACGCCACUGCGCCCGGCUAAUUUUUUAAAUUUGAGUAGAAGAUGAGGUCUCACUAUGUUGCCAAGGCAGUCUCAAACGACUGAGCUCAGGUGAUUCUCCCACCUCAGCCUCCCAAAGUGCUGGGAUUAUAGGCAUGAGCCAAAUCCCAAAUAAUUUCUAAUAAAAGUAAAAUGACAGCUUGGAUUUGGUCUACAAUAAACACCUCUUCUGCUUUCGUCACAAACGUGUAGCCCUUCUCCAGUGAGGGUCAGCCAGGCAUGUUAAUUCACAGGUGUGUGACACAGGCUGGCUCUUAGCCCCGCUGUGUCAGGGAGCAGGAUCUGCCCAACAAGACGCUGAGGCCACACAGCCCUCGGGAGAGCCUAGCCCCAUCAUGACACCUUCUGCUGAAGCUCCUUAGGUUCCAAUCAUUUCACUGUUCAGUGAGCCCUCUCUAGCCUCCGUGUCUUCCUCGGUGGCAAGAAGGAGGCCAACAGAGCACCCAGGACACAGGAUCACAGAGAAGGCUCUUCCAGCCACAAGUGAAGGCACCGCAGGGAAAAAUCCAUAUGCUCUGUGAGCACACGCAGGUGGAUGACCUAGAGAGCCAGGCCAAGGAGGGUCCACAAACAGGCCUUGCACACGUUCUGGGGUGGCGCAAACCAGUACAACCCUGUCUGAUAACUGCCUGGCAAGAUGUAUCAAGCGCCAUAGACAGUAUUUAGUUUCUUUAAUUCAAAAAUCCUACUUCUGAAACUUUAACCUAAGGAAACGAACCAUAAGAAAUUCCAGCCGGACGCAAUGGCUCACACCUGUCAUCCCAGCACUUUGGGAGUCGAGACAGGUGGAUCACUUGAGUCCAGGAGUUAGAAACCAGCCUGGGCAACAUAGCGAAAACCCAUCUCUACAGGGGGAAAAAAAAAACACAACGUAGCUGGGGCUGGGCGCAGUGGCUUACGACUGUCAUCCAGGCACUUUGGGAGGCUGAGGUGAGUGGAUCACCUGAGGUCAGGAGUUCAACACCAGCCUGGCCAACAUGGUGAAACCCUGUCUCUACUAAAAAUACAAAAAUUAGCUGGGCGUGGUACCACGCGCCUGUAAGCCCAGCUACUAGGGAGGCUAACGCAGGAGAAUCGCUUAAACAUGGCGGGCGGAGGUUGCAGUGGGCUGAGAUCGCGCCACUUCACUCCUGCCUGGGCAACGAAGAGUGAAACUCCAUCUCAAAACAAACAAACAAACAAACAAACAAACAAAAGCACUCUAGGUAUAAAAGGAACUUCCUCUGCCUGCAAGACCCCCCAUCUCCUUCCCAUGAAGUCCUUAACUUCUGUUCAACCCAAACGCCCAGCGCGUCCCUUCCACUGCGCUGCCCGAUGCACCUCUUCCCGCCACGCCUUCAGUGUUGUGGUCAUUUGUGCCUGCGCACCCAGGGCUGCAGGUACCUUCCUCCUGUGUGCUUCCAGGACGGUUAUUCAGGAUGCUGAGACGAGCCGCCAGCUCACACAGAACUGGGGUGUGACCUCAGCACCUGCUGCCUGUGUUCCUGAGGCUGUCCGCCAAGGCGCUCAGGAAACGCACAUGCCUCCUGAGCCUCAUAUGCACACCUCGUGGACGGCAGCCUGCAGGACCACUGGCAAGUUUUGUUGCCAAAAUCCCUCUUCGAGGAAAAAAAGUCAAUUGUUGACAAUUAGAUAUUAUGAUCACAUAACUCACUUCAAUCAGUCAUCUAAAAACAAACGGCUGAUACCACUGAGUCUCAAGGAAGCAGCCACAGGGGCCACAUCAGGCUCAUCCCACUUGGAAACCGCCCCUGAAGACAGCAGCCCCGAGCGCCACAGCUGACCCUGACAGAGGAGAGGCCUCCGGGGCAGGGGCUCCACCUUGACGCAUUCACACUUCACAGUGGAAAGGGGCCUUCUCCACAAGAAGCUGUGUGAAAAUGUUAGCAACUGCUGCCGGGCGCGGUGGCUCACGCCUGUCAUCCCAGCACUUCGGGAGGCUGAGGCGGGUGCAUCACCUGAGGUCGGGAGUCUGAGACAAGCCUGACCAACAUGCAGAAACCCCAUCUUUACUAAAAAUACAAAAAAUCAGCCAGGUGUGGUGACGCAUGCCUGUAAUCCCAGCUACUCGGGAAGCUAAGGCAACAGAAUGGCUUGAACCCGGGAGGCGGAGGUUGCGGUGAGCUGAGAUCGCGCCACUGCACUCCAGGCUGGGCAACAAGAGCGAAAUUCCGUCUCAAAAAAAGAAAAAAAAAAUGUUAGCAACUGCUUUUUUUCUAGUUUUCUAGUUCUAGUUAGCAACCGUGAAGUAACUGUACCUUCACAUGUAGUUGUAAGAAAUGGCACAGAGCAGGCUGGGCGCAGUGGCUCACACCUGUAAUCCCAGCACUUUGUGGGGACCGAGGCAGGCAGAUGAUGAGGUCAGGAGUUCGAGACCAGCCUGACCAACAUACUGAAACCCCAUCUCUACUAAAAACAAACAAAAUUAGCUGGGUGUGGUGGCACGCGCCUGUAAUCCCAGCUACUCAGGAGGCUGAGGCAGGAGAAUCGCUUGAACCCGGGAGGUGGAGGUUGCAGUGAGCAGAGAUCGAGCCACUGCACUCCAUCCUGGGUGACAGAGCCAGACCCCAUCUCAAAAAAAAAUAAAUAAAUAAAAAUAAAUGACGCAGAGCAAUACCUUGUCCCCCUGCUUCCAGGGGUUCCAUCUCACAAAACUAUGAACAGUAUCACAGCCAGGCUCUCCCACCACGACGGUCCACCAAGCUCCCCGGGGUCAUCCCAUGACACACGCGCAGUGUGUGCCCACCGCAGCUGAGGCAAUCCAACCACAGGCUCCCUCCGGCUGUCUCCUUCCCCCAUCCUUAACCCCUAGCAACCACGAAUCUGUGUUCCAUCUCUUUAAUUUUUGUCUUUAGAGAAUGCUGUAUAAAAAAAAAAUCAUACGGCAUGUGAUCUUUCAGCUCGGCCUUUUUUCACUCCGUAUAAUUCCUUCUGGGUUCACCCGCGUUAUCAGUGAGCGGGGCCUUUUUUCCACUCCGUGUAAUUCCUUCUGGGUUCACCCGCGUUAUCAGUGAGCGGAGUCUUUUUUCCACUCUGUGUAAUUCCUUCUGGGUUCACCCGCCUUACCAGUGAGCAGGGUCUUUUUUCACUCCGUGUAAUUCCUUCCAGGUUCACCCGCGUUAUCAGUGAGCGGAGCCUUUUUUCACUCCGUAUAAUUCCUUCCAGGUUCAUUCGUAGCAAACUAUAGUUCAACCCAAAACAGAAUAAACAUAAAACAAUCACUUGGCCGGGCGUGGUGGCUCACGCCUAUAAUCCCAGCACUUUGGGAGGCCGAGGUGGGCAGACCACAACGUCAGGAGAUCGAGAUCAUCCUAGCUCACAUGGUGAAACUCCGUCUCUACUAAAAACACAAAAAAUUAGCCGGGCAUGGUUGCGGGCACCUUUAGUCCCAGUUACUCGGGAGGCUGAGGCAGGAGAACUGCUUGAACCCACGAGGUGGAGUUUGCAAUGAGCCGAGAUCGUGGCAUUGCACUCCAACUUCGGCAACAAGAGCGAAGCUCCAUCUC